AGCGGUGGAGCAUGUGGUUUAAUUCGAUGCAACGCGAAGAACCUUACCUACUCUUGACAUCCAGAGAACUUUCCAGAGAUGGAUUGGUGCCUUCGGGAACUCUGAGACAGGUGCUGCAUGGCUGUCGUCAGCUCGUGUUGUGAAAUGUUGGGUUAAGUCCCGCAACGAGCGCAACCCUUAUCCUUUGUUGCCAGCGGUUAGGCCGGGAACUCAAAGGAGACUGCCAGUGAUAAACUGGAGGAAGGUGGGGAUGACGUCAAGUCAUCAUGGCCCUUACGAGUAGGGCUACACACGUGCUACAAUGGCGCAUACAAAGAGAAGCGACCUCGCGAGAGCAAGCGGACCUCAUAAAGUGCGUCGUAGUCCGGAUUGGAGUCUGCAACUCGACUCCAUGAAGUCGGAAUCGCUAGUACUCGUAGAUCAGAAUGCUACGGUGAAUACGUUCCCGGG
This 450-nucleotide ribosomal RNA is filed under the name Enterobacter sp. RNAcentral's name for it is "bacterial SSU rRNA". It matches the Rfam family "Bacterial small subunit ribosomal RNA", at positions 928 to 1378 of the family's 1533-position model. The record is from RNAcentral. Lineage: Bacteria; Pseudomonadati; Pseudomonadota; Gammaproteobacteria; Enterobacterales; Enterobacteriaceae.